GUCAGCGAUGAAGCAGCUUUAUGUUGCUCUCGUCAUUCUGUCGGUGUUAAGUCUCAUAGCCUAUUUCAUGAUACGUACUUUACCAGCAGACGUAUGUGCCGUUGAUAGUUUGGUUGGGUGGAUAAUGGAUAGGUCAGUAACAUUUAUAUAUAUGGGCGUUUUUCAAUAAAAGCGUUCCUUUCAGACCUAAAAAAAAUGGAAAAUCAACUAGUCUAACAUUUAUUUUCAAGAGUUAUUUUGAAUACCUCUAUUAUAGACCUGUUUGUAAACAAAAAGUGCAAUCUUAAAUACUCUUUUAAAAUGAUAUUAUUUUCAUAAUUUGUGUACUGUUUCGUAGGGGACUUUUGUCCCCUACGAAACUGCUUCUAAACACACAUAUUUUUGCAAUUUUAAAUGUUUCCUAUAGACAUUCCAGUUUGUUUACUUUAUAUACUAGAAAAUCUCAUUUUUUUCUGAAUUGGAGAACCAUUUUUUAUCGAUAAAGAUUAGACAGUACUUCACAUAUGAAGGUACAACUCAUGUUACGUAUAGUGGACAUUUUGAUGCGUUUCGUAGUUGACAAAACCGUUUCGUAGUGGACAAAAAGUUUCGUAGUUGAAAUCAAUCCUAUUCUAUGUUAAUAAAAACAUAAUAAAAAUUAAAUGAAACUAACCUUUGUUAUUUGCUUUGCACGAAUAUAAUUGAAAAAAGAGUAAAAAAAGACUGCAUGGUAGUGGUAGCGUCCACUACGAAACGUGUUUCUCCCAAACUUGUUUCGUAGGGGACGUAUUCACAUGUUUUAUUUUUUUCUCACAACCCCAAUAUUGCAAUAGUAACAAGACUGACUGUAUUCAUCAAAGCGUUAUUAAGCUGUACACUGAUAUUUUUUCAUAAUUUUUAAAACCAGUUACUGAAGGAGAUUUGACCCGUUUCGUAGUGGACAUUUACAAAAAUACGGUAUCACUCUGGUCCAUUUGAUGUGCUCAAUUUUUCUUACCAACAGUUUAAUUGCCGUUAUAAAAGCAUCACUUCUUUUGUAAGACCCUAAUGUUUAUAUCUCUUGCAAACAAAAAAUUACAUUGAUUUUAUAAAACUGUUUAUAAGCAAGUUUUAAUGACUUUGUUUCGUAGUGGACAUUGUGUUAGGGACACACCUUCUAAAAUAAAAAAUCCUAUGUUAAAAGCUGUUUAUUAAAAUAUGCUGGCUCUAAACAUACUUUUGAAUUAUUAAAGAACUUAUAUUAAAUAAAAUUAAUAUUUAUUUCUACAUUUUUUUACGAUAUUUGAGAGUAUGAAUGUUGAACAGGCGGUCUAGGGACAUGCCAUUUUGGUUGUUUUGGACCAUUCAGGAAUCAAUAUCUUAUCAAUCCCUCUAAAAAAUAAACUGUUUCUUUGCUUAAAAAUGUUAUAUCUAAUUCAAUGUACUGACUGCACAAAAAAUUUCUUGCAAAGUUCAAACACAUUUUUUUUAAAGUGGCUGGGACAAGAAAGUACGUUUUUAUUAAAAAAACGCCCAUAUAGCUCAUUUUUUAAAUUGGUUUCAGAUUGAAAUUCACAUCAAUCUGGACUUGCUUUCCCGUCUAAUCAGUAAUGCUGAAUUUAAUUAUUCUGAACUGCAUGAAAUAGUAAUUACUCCAAUAUUAUUUUGAAAUGUUCAUGAGAUUUUGAGGAAAAUAAUGUUUAUAAAAUUGCUGCUCUUCAAGCUUGAAAAUUGAAAACUAUGAUUUGAACUUAUGGGUUUCGAACCUGAUGUUCAGUGGUUGUCGUUUGUUGUUCUUCUUCUUUCAUACCACCUCUGGUGUAUUAUCGCACGUGGUUCUUAUGUGUUUCGUUUCUCGUUUUUCACGUAGAUUAGACCGUUGGUUUUCCUGGUUGAAUGGUUUUACUCUAGACAUUUUUGAGGCAUUUUAUAACUUGCUGGUCGGUGUGAGCACAUGGUCCGUGUUGAAGGCCAUACUUUGACCUUUCAUGGUUUAUUUUUUAAAUAUUGGGACUUGGAUGGAGAGUUGUCUCAUUGGCACUCAUGCCACAUCUUCUUGUAUCUCUAUAUAAUGUAUAAAAAAAGAAGAUGUGGUAUAAAUGCCAACGAGACAACUCUUUACAAGAGACCAAAUGACCAUGUAAUGACAGAAAUUAACAAUUAAGAGUCAACGUACGGCCUUCAACAAUGAGCAAAGUCCUUACCGCAAAGUCGGCUAUAAAAGACCCUAAAAUGACAAAUGUGAAACGAUUGAAACGAGAAAACUAACGGCCUGAUUUAUUUACAAUAUAAUGAACACAAUUAUAAGUUAUUUUCGUGCUUAAAGCGGUCAUUACCCUUACCUAGUAGAGUUAUAGGUGUCCUCUAUAAGCUGCGCUAGAUAGUGAAUAAUUCAUUUAGAUCAGUUGGUAGAGCGGUGGGUUACUGUGCGAUGGAGUUCCGCGACUACGUAAUCCCGGAUAGUAUAGCAAUACAUUUUGGAAGGAUACAGUUACAAAAAACUAAUCAUGGCCAGUAAAACAACCCACGUUUAGAAGAAAGUUUUCUUUUAUUUACAUGUGCACUUUUUUGAUGAAGCAAUUGUUAUCACGAAUGUCUCAUUUUAUUUACUUGAAAUAAAGGUUAAUUUCAAUAUACAUUUAAUGUUAUUUCAUAUAGGGGCAACUCAUGAUCCCUAGUUACUCGUGCGAUAUCUUCUCAUAUCUUAUUUUCAGCUACAUAUAUGUAUAUUUCAGUGAAUUCGUCGAAAACUUUUGUCAUCUCUAGUCUCUAUAGUGAACAGUACAGAAUACAAGUCCCAUAAAUCUGUUGACAGAGUUAGAAAAUGUAAGAACUGCAUGUUAUACUUAUUGUAUGUUUUUGCAGAGACAUAUGUCUCUGGUUUUUGGUAUUG
RNAcentral lists this long non-coding RNA (2851 nucleotides) under Mytilus galloprovincialis (Mediterranean mussel). Lineage: Eukaryota; Metazoa; Mollusca; Bivalvia; Mytilida; Mytilidae. The record is from RNAcentral.